GGGACACGUGAUAUCCUGUCUGAAUAUGGGGGGACCAUCCUCCAAGGCUAAAUACUACUGACUGACCGAUAGUGAACCAGUACCGUGAGGGAAAGGCGAAAAGAACCCCUGUGAGGGGAGUGAAAUAGAACCUGAAACCGUGUACGUACAAGCAGUAGGAGCAGGCUUUGUCCUGUGACUGCGUACCUUUUGUAUAAUGGGUCAGCGACUUAUAUUCAGUGGCAAGGUUAACCAUCUAGGGGAGCCGUAGGGAAACCGAGUCUUAACUGGGCGUUCAGUCUCUGGAUAUAGACCCGAAACCAGGUGAUCUAGCCAUGGGCAGGUUGAAGGUUGAGUAACAUCAACUGGAGGACCGAACCGACUAAUGUUGAAAAAUUAGCGGAUGACUUGUGGCUAGGGGUGAAAGGCCAAUCAAACCUGGAGAUAGCUGGUUCUCCCCGAAAGCUAUUUAGGUAGCGCCUCGGACGAAUACUACUGGGGGUAGAGCACUGUUAAGGCUAGGGGGUCAUCCCGACUUACCAACCCUUUGCAAACUCCGAAUACCAGUAAGUACUAUCCGGGAGACACACGGCGGGUGCUAACGUCCGUCGUGGAGAGGGAAACAACCCAGACCGCCAGCUAAGGUCCCAAAUUACUACUAAGUGGGAAACGAUGUGGGAAGGCUCAGACAGCCAGGAUGUUGGCUUAGAAGCAGCCAUCAUUUAAAGAAAGCGUAAUAGCUCACUGGUCGAGUCGGCCUGCGCGGAAGAUGUAACGGGGCUAAGUAGUAAACCGAAGCUGCGGCAAUGUGCUUUUGCACAUUGGGUAGGGGAGCGUUCUGUAAGCGGUUGAAGGUGUGUGGUAACGCAUGCUGGACGUAUCAGAAGUGCGAAUGCUGACAUGAGUAACGAUAAAGGGGGUGAAAAACCUCCUCGCCGGAAGACCAAGGGUUCCUGUCCAACGUUAAUCGGGGCAGGGUAAGUCGACCCCUAAGGCGAGGCCGAAAGGCGUAGUCGAUGGGAAACGGGUUAAUAUUCCCGUACUUCUUACAAUUGCGAUGGGGGGACGGAGAAGGCUAGGUGGGCCUGGCGACGGUUGUCCAGGUUCAAGUGCGUAGGCUUAAGAGUUAGGUAAAUCCGGCUCUUUUUAAGGCUGAGACACGACGUCGAGCACCUACGGGUGUGAAGUCAUUGAUGCCAUGCUUCCAGGAAAAGCCUCUAAGCUUCAGAUUGUAAGGAAUCGUACCCCAAACCGACACAGGUGGUCGGGUAGAGAAUACCAAGGCGCUUGAGAGAACUCGGGUGAAGGAACUAGGCAAAAUGGUACCGUAACUUCGGGAGAAGGUACGCUCUUGAUGGUGAAGUCCCUCGCGGAUGGAGCUGACGAGAGUCGCAGAUACCAGGUGGCUGCAACUGUUUAUUAAAAACACAGCACUGUGCAAAAUCGUAAGAUGACGUAUACGGUGUGACGCCUGCCCGGUGCCGGAAGGUUAAUUGAUGGGGUUAGACUUCGGUCGAAGCUCUUGAUCGAAGCCCCGGUAAACGGCGGCCGUAACUAUAACGGUCCUAAGGUAGCGAAAUUCCUUGUCGGGUAAGUUCCGACCUGCACGAAUGGCGUAAUGAUGGCCACGCUGUCUCCACCCGAGACUCAGUGAAAUUGAAAUCGCUGUGAAGAUGCAGUGUACCCGCGGCUAGACGGAAAGACCCCGUGAACCUUUACUACAGCUUGGCACUGAACAUUGACCCUACAUGUGUAGGAUAGGUGGGAGGCUUUGAAGCACGUACGCCAGUAUGUGUGGAGCCGUCCUUGAAAUACCACCCUUGUAGUGUUGAUGUUCUAACGUCGACCCCUUAUCGGGGUU
This 1840-nucleotide ribosomal RNA is filed under the name Vibrio parahaemolyticus. Its description in RNAcentral is "partial 23S ribosomal RNA". It matches the Rfam family "Bacterial large subunit ribosomal RNA", at positions 419 to 2246 of the family's 2925-position model. Lineage: Bacteria; Pseudomonadati; Pseudomonadota; Gammaproteobacteria; Vibrionales; Vibrionaceae. The record is from RNAcentral.